AAUAGAUACCCUGGUAGUCCACGCCGUAAACGAUGAGUGCUAAGUGUUAGAGGGUUUCCGCCCUUUAGUGCUGCAGCUAACGCAUUAAGCACUCCGCCUGGGGAGUACGGCCGCAAGGCUGAAACUCAAAGGAAUUGACGGGGGCCCGCACAAGCGGUGGAGCAUGUGGUUUAAUUCGAAGCAACGCGAAGAACCUUACCAGGUCUUGACAUCCUCUGCCAACCCUAGAGAUAGGGCGUUCCCCUUCGGGGGACAGAGUGACAGGUGGUGCAUGGUUGUCGUCAGCUCGUGUCGUGAGAUGUUGGGUUAAGUCCCGCAACGAGCGCAACCCUUGAUCUUAGUUGCCAGCAUUCAGUUGGGCACUCUAAGGUGACUGCCGGUGACAAACCGGAGGAAGGUGGGGAUGACGUCAAAUCAUCAUGCCCCUUAUGACCUGGGCUACACACGUGCUACAAUGGAUGGUACAAAGAGCUGCGAACCCGCGAGGGUAAGCGAAUCUCAUAAAGCCAUUCUCAGUUCGGAUUGU
RNAcentral lists this ribosomal RNA (526 nucleotides) under uncultured bacterium. Its description in RNAcentral is "bacterial SSU rRNA". It matches the Rfam family "Bacterial small subunit ribosomal RNA", at positions 777 to 1301 of the family's 1533-position model. The record is from RNAcentral.